CUAGACCUUCGGGGUGAGGUGCAAUUCCUCGAUCGGUGGUAUAGCCCACGACUCCCCGCCCUAAAAAUUGGCGGAGACUGAACCUGUGCAAUUCAGGUGCCGACGGUUAAAGUCCGGAUGGUAGAAGGUUAGC
This 133-nucleotide non-coding RNA is filed under the name Candidatus Zhuqueibacterota. Its description in RNAcentral is "Candidate division FMN sequence". It matches the Rfam family "FMN riboswitch aptamer (RFN element)". From Rfam's summary of the family: The RFN element is a highly conserved domain that is found frequently in the 5'-untranslated regions of prokaryotic mRNAs that encode for flavin mononucleotide (FMN) biosynthesis and transport proteins. This element is a metabolite-dependent riboswitch that directly binds FMN in the absence of proteins. The record is from RNAcentral. Lineage: Bacteria; Pseudomonadati. RNAcentral also lists the same sequence under 1 other name.